This 8728-nucleotide long non-coding RNA is filed under the name Malus domestica (apple). Its description in RNAcentral is "long non-coding RNA (MDOM_LNC000105)". The record is from RNAcentral. Lineage: Eukaryota; Viridiplantae; Streptophyta; Magnoliopsida; Rosales; Rosaceae.
GUCUAAAGUCUAGAUCAAGAGGUAUAAAACUACUCCUACACUUUGUUCUUCAAUAAAUUGUUUUUGAUGCAUCAUACAUAAACCUAUGCAUCUUGAAGGGGAUUUGCAUGACUAUAGCUUUGAUAUUAUUUGAUAACAUGCUUCCGUUGCUUUCGUAUAUAAAUUUUGAAUUGUAUAUGCAUGCUAGUCACUAGAAAUCCCACAUGAAAUCUCACCAUUUCCCUUCAAGUGGUAUCAGAGCCAAAGGUUUAUGUUUGAUGUGUCCUUUUGGAUUUUAUGCAUAUGGGUUUUAAUUUUAUGUAUGACAUGUUAUUGCUUCAUUCAAAGUAUGUUUAUCUUUUGUUUUUCAAAUGUUGAAAAAUAUGAAUCAAUAGUUGAAAAGAUAUGUAUGCAAAAGUGUUUUGGAUGCAUGAAUGAAGAUUGAGUUUAGAACAAAAUUUUGGGGUUUUGUUCCAAAAGGGGGCACGGGAAAGGGGGUUUUUUGGCUAAGUGUUUGUGUUUUAUUUUGAAUCACACACACACACUUGAAGCUAGAAAGAAUAGAUCUUGUCACUUUUGUUUUUGGGUUUGAAAAAAAUCACCAAGAAAGUACAAAUCUUGAAAUUGUUUACAUGGUUUUGUUCUUGGUGUUCAUUGUUUGGUUUUUGGUGAAAAUGGUUUCAUUUGUUUUUCAUACAUUGUUUUGUGGUUUUGGUUGGUAAACUUACCAUCCAUAGCUUUCCCAAAAUUUAUUAAACCCUAGACUUGACUAGGUGAAUUUCCAUCACCAUUAGUCUAAAGUCCUUAAAGCCUAAGUCAAGUGACAAGUAAAAUUUGGAUUUUUCUACUUUAUGUUGAUUUAUUGCAAUAUAGGUGAGACCUCCCAUCCCUCUUAAUGUGGCCGGCCACCCUAGUGGAUUUAUCCACUUGUGGGGCUAUUUUGUAAAUUUUAAAAAGUUGAUAAUACUUUCAAGUAUUUACGGUUUGACCCCUAACUUUUUGUAUUUGCAUUUAGGCCCCUACUAACUAGAAAGUUAAAAUAUUUGAUUUUAAUUUUGUUAGUUGUUUAAACUCAUAAUACUAUUAUGCCCAUAUGCACUAAAUCUAAUUGUUUAUGUUGCAUUCCAAUUAAUUAUUUAAUAUGAUUAAGUAGUUAGAAAAUGGUUGACUAUGGACUUAUGCCUUAAACGAUAAUUGAGCUAUGAGAAAGGGCGCUAAACUCAAAUUGUUUGAACCUUUGGAAUGUGUUUAAUUACUGUUUCAAUUGGACCUUGUCAUGAUGGACUUUAAUCAUUCUCUCCCUCUUAGUAUGUGUAAUUUGUAGGAAUUUGUACAAAUCGGUUUGUAAUUCUUAUUACUUCUUAAUCUCUUUUAAUUGGUUGAUUCCCUCUAGUACUAGACUAGAGUUUCUUUAACUAUUGGUAAGGAGACAUAAUUAAAAGAGGGUUUUGACAUGAGAUUAAAGAUUAAAUGGGUCCAACGCUCUAAUUAGCAAUGAAUGAUUGUCUUUCAUUUCUAAUGGCUCAAUGAAAAAUUGUUUUAAUUAGAUUGAAAAGCACGUAAUUAAAAUGACACAACCUCCCCGAGUUCUUAUUCAACAAUGUUGGCUCGUUGUUGCAAUAACCCAAUAAGUCCAUGGUCAUCCAAGAGCCUAAGAUAACUAUAAAGUCCAAUUUCAAAGGAAUGCAAAAACCGUAGUAGUAAUAGUUACUUCCAAUAUUUGAAAAAUUCGUUUUUGAUAUUGAUUUGUUUUUCUCAAAACAAAUAGUGGGAGUAUCAUACGCUACUAAAGUAUAAUGAAUAUAAUUAGUAGUUAUAUAUAUCUCCAAUAUUUUGAAAAAUGUUUUGAUAUUGAUUUGUUUUAUGAAAACAAAUAGUGGGGAUAUCAUAUGCUACUAAUUUCAUUAACUUUGGACUAGUAGUUAUAAUAGGAUACAAUUUAUUUGAAUGUGAUUAAAUAAAUAAAAAAAAAUGAUGAGACCUUAAAAUCCCUCAACCAACAAACAAUUUUAAGUUGAAAGCGGAGAGGUGCUAUUGAACACUUCUUCGUGGCCUUCCACCAUGGUAGGCUCCAAUCGUUUAUCACUUGUACACCGCCUUCACCCUAUCAUGGGGAAGUGCAAAGUGCAUGCUUAUACUCAGGAGGAGUCUAUAUAAACAUUUGAUGAGGUGAAGGUAGGCAACGAGUGUGGCCAGCAUCAUAUCAUCGUGAGGUCAUACUUGAACCCCUAUCUAAACCGGCAUGGUGGGUCGAACUUAACUAAGAGAAAUGGUGCCAACAUCGUAUCAUCGUGAGGCAUUGUUCUCUAGAGGCCAAAUAGAUGGGUAAUCACAAGAGGUUGUUGUGAAUGGGUAAGUGUACCCUCUCAUUAUUAUUUUUGCUAGCCGACAUCGUAUCAUCGUGAGGUGGGCUUGGUAAUAGUGAGCCUCCCGUAACCCGCUAGGAGCUUUCUUUGAAAUCUCCCGGAUUCCAUCUUGAGGGAUAUGGAAUUUGCCAAAAAUGGUGGGUGGUGUCAUUCGGUUUAAAAACCCGAAUCGUUUGACUUAAUCGAUAAUCAAACUAAUUUAUUUUAUUGUUUAUGUAUUUAGAUAUGGUUGGAAGCACACUCGCGAAAAUACUCGACAAACAUUGCCUAGAGGGGCACAAUUUCCCAUCAUGGUAUCGUAAUGUCAAGAUUCUCCUAACAUUGGAGAAGAUUGUUUACGUGCUAGACAAGGCUCCACCUCACAUACCUCUCGGCCCUAAGGCCACUGAGGAUGAACGUGCUAAGUAUGACAAGCACGUUGAAGAUGACACACAAGCCAAGUGCUAUCUGUUGGCUUCCAUGAAUGAGGAGCUACAGAGACAGCACGAGGUCAUGGACAGUGCAGCUUCCAUCGUACUCCAUCUUACGGAGUUAUAUCGUGAAGGGACGCGCAACCGUCGCUUUAGCACUGUUAGUGAACUUGUGAAGACCAAGAUGGUCAAGGGGGCUCCAGUGCAUCAACGUGUACUGAAGAUGAUAUGACUCAUUGAACAAUUGGAGAACCUAGGUACUCCACUUGACGGGGAAUUGGCCCAGGACUUCAUUUUGGCUUCUUUUUCUGAUUCAUUCUCGCAGUUCGUUAUGAACUACAAUAUGAAUAAGAUGGAUAGUACUCUCUUUGAGUUACUAAACAUGUUAGUAACUGUCGAGAAGACUAUGAAGAAAGAGAACGUUGUAGGGACUUUUGCAGUAGCCUAUAACAAGCCAUCCUCUUCCAAGGCUAAGCCGCAAGGCCAAGGCAAAGGGAAGGAGAAGAAGUCUCCCACUCCUAAGCCGCAAGGAGGAGUGAGGAAAAAGAAGGCAAAGGAGCCCAAGGGGACUUGCCACCACUAUGGAAAUGAGGGUCAUUGGAAGAGGAAUUGCAGGUUAUACCUUGCAACUCUUAAGGACAAGCCACAAGGUAUGGUUUAUGUUUAUCUUCAAUUCUAAUUGUUAGAUCUUCUAAAAAUUUAUAUUUGAUAUAAAGGGCUAAUCACUUGUAUAAUUGUAUAUAGGUGGAGGAGCCAAGUAGAAGAGGAACAAGCAAAGAAAAGUGUGGAGAAGGGUUCGGCUACCAUGUUUUUUGCUUACUACUUAGGAAGUUUGUUAGGCAUUUAAAGAUAGUCUUUAAACUUUCUUACUUUGUUAAGAACUUAUUAAGUGGCUUCAUAUGAUGGAAAACCACUAUUAGUGCCUAAAUGUAUGAAGGUAUUUAAUUAGUCUCUAAAUGUAUAGAGCUAAUUCUUUUUGUAUUAAACAUUAUGAAUGUUUGAAUUAUCAUAUUAAUGUAAUGUGAUGAAUGCCUUCUAAUAUAUUAUUUCCUUAAAGUAGUGUUAUGAAUUGAAUAUUGUCUUGUAGUAUCCUAGUAGAGAUACAAGAAUUAUAUCAGUUAUUGUAAUGUGAUAACCAAACUUUAGACUUAUCAAUUAUGGAUAGAUCACACAUGUUGGACAUAGAAGGAUACAAUGAAUCUUUAGAUUUGGUUCCAAUUGUCUACCUAUGAGUUCUAUAUGAAUUGACAAAGGUCUAGAAAUUCCUUUCUUGAAGAAAAGGAAGAUCACAUUAUAAUGAUAUAAGUAAUAAGAAAAACGUUUCUUAUAUGGUUAUCACUUAAACCAUAAUAAUCAAGAUCACUCUUGAUUCAAUUAGUAGUUUUGAACAACUAAUUAGGCUUUCUUAAAAUUGGUUUUAAAAUGUCAAUUGUGUUAGUGAUUAAACCAAGAAAGAAGUGUCUAAAUCUAUAAAAUGUUUAAAGACUUUAGUCACUUAAUAACGAGCCAUUAACUUAGUGAAGAUUGAAACAAACGAGCUUGAAAGGUUUUAAAGCUACUACACAAUGUCCUCUACCCGUAUACUCCACGUUUAUACAUUUUGAAUGUAUGAAGUGAUUUCUCAUUAAAGUCAUGAGAAAUAGUGGGAGGUGUGAAAAAGGAUAUAAACUUGAAUAUGAUUGGUUUAUAGUUGUCUAAAGAAUAAUAGUAAUUGACUAUUAUUAAGAGUUUGUAAUUUUAAUUGUUAAAGGACUCAAGCUCUUCAAAAGUUAAAAUUCUAUGUUGUGUAACAUUCUAAAGAAUAAUCUUUGAAUGUUGGUUUCGUCAACCUAACAUAAAAUGGUUAUAUGUUGGGAGUUGUCCAUCAUUCUCUUUAAUGAGAACAAGCUAAUAACAAAGCGUAUGGACAAAUUUGAUGAAACAAAAGGGAAUAGUUUUAAAAUGAGUCACAACAUAUGGUUUAACGACAAGACAAUCCAAAUUCAACAUCUCAUGUAACUAUAAUGCUCUAUGUAGUUUUGAUAAAGAAUUAUAUCAACCACCUAGAAGGAAUGGUUGAGUUUCUAUAUCCUUAGUAGGAGUCAUGCUUCCACUAAAGACUUGGAUAAUUCUUAUAUGACUACAUUAAAGGUCUUAGUAUGACUAAAACUUGAAGUAUGGUGUAUGACACCAUAUAAUUUAAAUUAAUAGACUUGAUAAAACAAGUCACACAUAUCAAAUGGAAUUACUUGAGAAGGAAUUCUUUUAUGUAUGUUCGUUUAAUUAACUUGUGUUAGCUAGAGUUGUUGAUAGUCCCAAAAUUGUUGAGACAUCAUCAAUAAGCUAAUGGAUCUUAAUGAUUGUCAAUAGAUCCAAGACAAGUUAGUGGGAGCAAUAUGCAUUCAAAUCAAGAAAAUGUAAGUGUUAAGUUUUUUGAAUGAAUGCUAAGUUACAACAAGGCCAGUGGGAGUGAUGUCAUAAUUUGAGCAACAAGAUAUGAAUAAUGUCUAUUUGAUAAACUUGAUAAAACAUAGAUGUUACUCGAAAAAUGACAAAACGUGACACGGUCAAUUUUAAAGUAUAGACUUGAAAUUGGACUUAUUGAUAUAGCAAGGCUAUCUCAAGGAUGUUAUUUGGGGAAAUUAAAUCUCAAAUGUUGAAGAUUUGAGAAGGUGUUUUCCUAUAUGAUAGAAAAUCACUUUCAUAACCCUUAUAAUGAAUGUGUCCUAAAAUCACAAAAGGGACACAUGUAUGGACUUGUGAGAUGAUAUCCAAAGGUGAAAAGUCACAGGGGUUGUCACUUUAAGAUAUUACUAUAGCCCAGGAUCAGAACCAUAGCAACUGAUAGAGUAUUAUUUCCUUUAAGAAAGGAACAUCAGAGUGGGACUCUGGAAGAGUGCAUUCACUUAGGUUAUUAACCAAAGUGAAAAAUAACCCAUUUUAACAAAUGGAACUUCAUAAUGGAUGAAGUACUAAUCAUAUGAAUGUAUUGUUAGUAUUGUAAUACAAUGGUCUCAAGGUUGGAGCAAAGUAUGUAUAAAGUAUACAAACGAAAUAUAUGGCGAUAUAUUGUUUUAGAAACUGCUUCAAAAGGUGUUUUGAAUAGAAGGGGUUCUUAUAGAACCAAUGAUUGAAUCCAAACCAUAAGGUUGUUAGUUGGACACUACGACGUAAUGGGGCGAUAGCUCAAGCCAUGAAAUCAAGGUCUCAUCAAAGUAUUUGAACACAAGAAAGAGACAUCAUCAAAUGUUUUAGAAACAUUAGAUAAGUAAAUCCCUUUUAUAAAUUAAAAGGAUUAAUACAUAACCAAGUUAACCUACGAGCAUAAGCUCACUCAACUAGUAUGCCCUGAAAGUCAAUCUUUGGAAGAAACCUUUCAGGACAAUGAAUGGAUGUAUAGAUGAUUCUUGUACAUCAAAUGGCAAAUAUACUAAUUAGGACUAUCUCAACACACGAUAUAUGUCCUAAAUAGUGAAUCCAUGGACAAUGGAUUGAUGGAAGAAGUAAUCUAAUGAUGUUAGACUACAGAGACCUUCUUCACAUAACAAUCAUGUCCAAAAGGUUCCUGGUCUAGGAUUGUCGGAGGGAUACUGACAAUGCAUAGACCGGUACAUACUAUGUCCGCUUCAAUUGGAAGGAUGGAAAGUCUCGUCCCAUUCAUGUAGUGACACUAAGACAGGUAUGUAGGUGCUCAUUAAGGGAAUGAGUUCACUGAACACAAUCGAACGAGAGUACUUGCAUGGAGGUCUACUCACAUGUCAAGCAAGUAACUCUAAUGGUUGGAAUAAUGUAAGUAGUCAUUUGACCUGAGACAUCAUAGUUGUCUUAUGGUUAGGUACUUGAUCUUUAAUUAUGUCAAAGUCACUCCAUGCGGGUGUCCACGGCAUAGUUGGGGUUAAGCCACUUAGUCAUGGAGGCAAGUGAAUGCGCAACAAGGAAUCUCUAAUCCUCGUUAAGAGAGGAUGAAUACUCUAAGAUAUGAUUCGGGAAUCUUCGGCCGAAGUAUCGAGCGUAAUAAAGGAAAGCGUUCCUAUACGACUCAAAUGAAUCAUAUAAGAAGGAAUAAUCACAUUAGGGGUUUGACAUAAUAUAUCCAUACCCUAGUAAUGUGAUUGAGAGUAUUGUUUUAGAGAAGGAUCGAAUUACAUUGUAAUUCCAACUGAAUAGGUUCUCCGAACAAAUUCUACAUUAACUUGGGUAGCCAUGAUAUAUGGUUAGAUGUCACUCAUGACUUGUGAGUUCUUCUAGAUGAUUAAAUGUAGUCGUCAAAGAAGAAGGUGAAUUAAAAGUAAGUUUUAAUUCACUAAGUGAUUGGAUUAAAAAUAAUCAAUUGGAUUGGUGCCAAUCACCUCACUGCCUUGCUAAUUAGAACCUAAAAUGAUUGUUCACCAAUACACUCUUGUAGUGAGUAACUAAUGGAUGAUGGAAAUAAUUAAUUGGAUUAAUUAAGUGUUGUGAUUAAUUAGAAUGUCUAAAGAAAUCAUAAAAGUGAUAAAAGAUCGUUUUGGGCUUAAAGAAAAGUUCGGGUCUAAUUGGGACCAUUGGGGCUAAACCCAUUGGGCUUUUAUUCAAGCAUAUGAUGACUUGAAAUAAUAAAAGCCCGAAGCCCAAACAACACUAAAGGGGCCGGCCAAAGGAGGGAGAGAGAGAGUCAAAUGUGAACUUGUUUCUUUUUGGUUAUAAAAGGAACUUUAUAGCACAAAGUUUUAUUAGGGUUUUUUGAAGUGUUAAAACAACAAAAGAGAAAAAGAAAAUAUCUCUCUCAACACUCAAAGGGCCGGCCACCAGAAGGGGAUUUAGCUAAUCAUCUUCUCACCCUUUUGGUUAUUCCUUCAUCCUUCUCACUACUCCAGUGGGUGAGGAUCUUUAGAGGUCUUCAACUUUGGAGACUUAAGGAGAACCAAGGAGCACUCAUUCUAACAAAGUGGAGGAGGCAAGGAGGGAGGCUAGGCUCAAGGAGUUCCAACAACAAAGGGCUUGGAGGUGGUCCAUCCUUGGUCUAAAGUCUAGAUCAAGAGGUAUAAAACUACUCCUACAGUUUGUUCUUCAAUAAAUUGUUUUUGAUGCAUCAUACAUAAACCUAUGCAUCUUGAAGGGGAUUUGCAUGACUAUAGCUUUGAUAUUAUUUGAUAACAUGCUUCCGUUGCUUUCGUAUAUAAAUUUUGAAUUGUAUAUGCAUGCUAGUCACUAGAAAUCCCACAUGAAAUCUCACCAUUUCCCUUCACCAAGGAGCAAGAAGACUAAGGAAACAAGGCCCUCACAUGGGUGACUAUCCUUUGCUAAGCAAAGAGGUGCUUUAAAGGUAUAAAAGUUUCUCAACUCUUUCCUUUAAGAUUUGAGUUGAGUCUUGGUUUACCACAACUACUAGGCCUUAAAUUUGAUGGGUAAAGUUUUGUUUUUGAGUGCAUACAAGCAUGAUUCCACCUUUAUUUGUUAAUUGCAUGCAUAGAUGUUGCUCAAAUGAACUUGUUUUCACAAAUUUUUCCUUCAAGUGGUAUCAGAGCCUAGGUCUAGUAGUUGGUGAAUCCUUUUGGGUUUUGUAUUUUUUAUAGUUUAUGAUUUGAAUGUUGUAAUUGUUACAAGCUUUAUUCUUACUUUUUUGAAUGUACAUUUUGUUAGAAAAUUAGACAUCUCAAAAGUUGUAGAUGUAAUUCAUUUAAGCAUGAAUUUUGGAGCUAAAAUUUGGUGCCAUGUUUGUAACAUCCCACAUCGCCUAGGGGAGUGGAUCCUGUAAGCCUUAUAUGUAUAUUCCCAUCAGUACCUAGCAUGAGGUCUUUUGGGAACUCACUGGCUUUGGGUUCCAUCAGAAGUCCGAAGUUAAGCGAGUUCGCGGAAGAGCAAUUCGAGGAUGGGUGACCAACUGGAAGUUCUCAUGUUAGUUCCUAAAAACAAAACCAUGAGGACGUAGUCAGGGCCUAAAGCAUACAAUAUCGUGUUAUUGUGGAGUCGAGCUUGGGAUGUGGUGGGGGCCCUGGCCGAGAUGUGACAAUUUGG